This 508-nucleotide ribosomal RNA is filed under the name uncultured bacterium. RNAcentral describes it as "bacterial SSU rRNA". It matches the Rfam family "Bacterial small subunit ribosomal RNA", at positions 997 to 1509 of the family's 1533-position model. The record is from RNAcentral.
CCUUUAGAAAUAGAGGUUUUCCCGCAAGGGACAGUAGUCGAGGUGCUGCAUGGCUGUCGUCAGCUCGUGUCGUGAGAUGUUGGGUUAAGUCCCGCAACGAGCGCAACCCUUGUCCUGUGUUGCAACUUACAGGCACUCUCAGGAGACCGCCAGCGAUAAGCUGGAGGAAGGUGGGGAUGACGUCAAGUCAUCAUGGCCUUUAUGUCCAGGGCUACACACGUGCUACAAUGGACGGUACAAACCGUCGCAAACCCGCGAGGGGGGAGCAAAUCGGAAAAAACCGUUCUCAGUUCGGAUUGCAGGCUGCAACCCGCCUGCAUGAAGCUGGAAUCGCUAGUAAUGGUAUAUCAGAACGAUACCGUGAAUACGUUCCCGGGCCUUGUACACACCGCCCGUCACAUCACGAAAGUGGGUUGUACUAGAAGUCUGCGCGCCAACCGCAAGGAGGCAGCGGCCCAAGGUAUGACUCAUGAUUGGGGUGAAGUCGUAACAAGGUAGGCGUAGCGAG